GACGAACGCUGGCGGCGUGCUUAACACAUGCAAGUCGAACGGCAAGGCCCUGCUUUUGUGGGGUGCUCGAGUGGCGAACGGGUGAGUAACACGUGAGUAACCUGCCCUUGACUUUGGUAUAACUUCAGGAAACUGGGGCUAAUACCGUAUAGGAGCUCCUGCUGCAUGGUGGGGGUUGGAAAGUUUCGGCGGUUGGGGAUGGACUCGCGGCUUAUCAGCUUGUUGGUGGGGUAGUGGCUUACCAAGGCUUUGACGGGUAGCCGGCCUGAGAGGGUGACCGGCGACAUUGGGACUGAGAGACGGACCAGACUGCUACGGGAGACAGCAGUGGGGAAUAUUGCACAAUGAGCGGGAGCCUGAUGAAGAAACGCCGCGUGCGGGAUGACGGUCUUCGGGUUGUAAACCGCUUUCGCCUGUGGCGAAGCGGGAGUGACGGUAAUGGGUAAAGAAGCACCGGCUAACUACGUG
This 468-nucleotide ribosomal RNA is filed under the name uncultured bacterium. RNAcentral describes it as "partial 16S ribosomal RNA". It matches the Rfam family "Bacterial small subunit ribosomal RNA", at positions 28 to 507 of the family's 1533-position model. The record is from RNAcentral.